CUGUCAGUCUCGCGCGUUGCCUGGGCGAAGGGGGCGGAGCUUUGGCGUGGGGCGGCCAAUAGUGGGGGUGGCUGCGUGGGUCGCCAUGGGGACGGGGCUGUUCCCGGGGAGGCUGUGAUGGGUUGACAGGUGCGUGACAGUGGGAGCUGCUCUCGGCACAAGCAUGUACGGCAAAGGCAAGAGUAACAGCAGCGCCGUCCCGUCCGACAGCCAGGCCCGGGAGAAGUUAGCACUCUACGUAUAUGAAUAUCUGCUCCAUGUAGGAGCUCAGAAAUCAGCCCAAACAUUUUUAUCAGAGGU
RNAcentral lists this long non-coding RNA (300 nucleotides) under Pan troglodytes (chimpanzee). RNAcentral's name for it is "long non-coding RNA NONPTRT013498". The record is from RNAcentral. Lineage: Eukaryota; Metazoa; Chordata; Mammalia; Primates; Hominidae.